Molecule: ribosomal RNA, 245 nt
Filed under: uncultured bacterium
Lineage: Bacteria
Description: partial 16S ribosomal RNA
Rfam family: Bacterial small subunit ribosomal RNA
Source: RNAcentral
UACGGAGGGUGCGAGCGUUGUUCGGAAUCACUGGGCGUAAAGCGCGUGUAGGCGGGCCAUCAAGUCCGGUGUGAAAUCCCCAGGCUUAACUUGGGAACUGCAUUGGAAACUGGUGGUCUUGAGUACGGGAGAGGGAGGUGGAAUUCCUAAUGUAGAGGUGAAAUUCGUAGAUAUUAGGAGGAACACCGGUGGCGAAGGCGGCCUCCUGGACCGAUACUGACGCUGAGACGCGAAAGCGUGGGGAG